This is a non-coding RNA of Gossypium raimondii (Peruvian cotton), 100 nucleotides long. Lineage: Eukaryota; Viridiplantae; Streptophyta; Magnoliopsida; Malvales; Malvaceae. The record is from Rfam.
CUUUCGGGAACAUCCGAUAAAAUUGGAACAAUAUAGAGAACACCAUCAUGGCUCCUGGGCAAGGAUAAUAUGCACAAAUGGAGAAAUGGUCCAAAAUUUU